This is an RNA transcript of Manis pentadactyla (Chinese pangolin), 4470 nucleotides long. It is a transcript of the gene named acyl-CoA synthetase family member 3, with no coding region annotated. The record is from RefSeq and is a predicted model, not a curated record. The transcript has 12 exons. Lineage: Eukaryota; Metazoa; Chordata; Mammalia; Pholidota; Manidae.
GCGACGGACGCGGGGUGCGCGCGCAGCCGCGGGUGCGGUUCCGGUUCCGGCCCGAGGAGGACGAGCGGGGUCCGCGGCCGCUGAGCCCCACCCCAGGUGGAUCAAGUCGGAUAUCGUCUGCAAUGCUGCCCCACGUGGCGCUGUCCUUCCGGUGCCGGGUCUGCGCCGUGGCCUCCUGCCGGCCUGCUCCCUGGAGACACAGAUGGAGUGGCUUCCUGCACACGGGCCCAGAAGCCCUCUCUGACAGGAGCGCCCCGGUGUUCACCCGUGCCUUGGCCUUUGGGGCCAGAACCGCCCUCGUCGACCAGCACGGCCACCACACAUACGCAGACCUUUACUCCCACAGCGUCCGCCUGUCCCGGGAGAUCUGCAGGCUCCGCGAGUGCACAGGCGGGGACCUGCGGGGGGAGAGGGUCUCCUUCAUGUGCUCCAAUGACGUGUCCUACGUGGUGGCCCAGUGGGCCUCAUGGAUGAGUGGUGGCAUCGCUGUCCCUCUGUACGGGAAGCUCCCGCAGGCCCAGCUGGAGUAUUUCAUCCGGGACUCCCAGAGCUCCGUGGUCCUGGCCGGCCAGGAGUACGUGGAGAUCCUGAGCCCAGUGGUCGGGAAGCUGGGGAUCCCACUCCUGCCUCUCCCGCCCACAGUCUACAGCAGGGCAGCAGAGGAGCGCAGGGACGGGGAGGUGCCGGAGCGGGACUGGAGAGACCGGGGCGCCAUGAUUGUCUACACCAGCGGGACCACGGGGCAGCCCAAGGGCGUGCUGAGCACCCAUCCCAACAUCCAGGCCAUGGUGAAGGGGCUGGUCCACAAGUGGGCGUGGACCAAAGACGAUGUGAUCCUGCACGUCCUCCCGCUGCACCACAUCCACGGCGUGGUCAACAAGCUGCUCUGUCCGCUCUGGGUGGGAGCCACCUGUGUGAUGCUGCCCGAGUUCAGCGCGCAGCAGGUUUGGGAAAAGUUCUUAAGUCCUGAAACCCCACGGAUUAAUGUAUUUAUGGCCGUGCCCACAAUAUACAGCAAGUUGUUGGAUUACUAUAACAAACACUUCACCCAGCCUCACGUCCGGGAUUUUAUACGUGCAGUUUGUGAAGAAAAAAUUAGGUUGAUGGUUUCAGGAUCGGCCGCCCUGCCCCUGCCUGUGCUGGAGGCCUGGAGGAACGUCACAGGCCACACCCUGCUGGAGAGGUACGGGAUGACAGAGAUCGGCAUGGCCCUGUCCAACCCCCUGACCACGGCUCGCUUGCCAGGGUCUGUAGGGACGCCACUGCCAGGCAUCGAGGUGCGCAUUGUCUCAGAAAACCUGAAGAAGGAGGGCUGCCCCUACAUCCUCCACGCAGAAGGGAAUGAGAAGGAGACCAAGGUGACCCCGGGGUUCAAGGAGAAGGAAGGGGAGCUCUUGGUCAGGGGGCCCUCCGUGUUCCGGGAAUACUGGGGCAGACCUGAGGAGACGAAGAAGGCCUUCACCUCAGACGGCUGGUUCAAGACAGGUGACACAGCUGUGUUCAAGGACGGCAGUUACUGGAUCCGGGGCCGCACGUCAGUGGACAUCAUCAAGAGUGGCGGCUACAAGGUCAGCGCCCUGGAGGUGGAGCGGCUGCUGCUGGCCCACCCCAGCAUCGCAGAUGUGGCUGUGGUCGGUGUUCCAGACGUGACAUGGGGCCAGCGGGUCACUGCGGUCGUGGCCCUUCCAGAGGGACACUCACUGUCCCACCAGGAGCUCAAAGCAUGGGCACGAGGCGUCAUGGCCCCGUACGCUGUGCCUUCGGAGCUGCUGCUGGUGGAGACGAUCCCGCGGAACCAGAUGGGGAAGGUCAACAAGAAGGAACUCAUCAGGCAGUUCUACCCGUGCAACCAGGGCGCCCCAGGGCUGGGCGCCCAGGAGCCAGCAUCGCCUUCCCACUAGAAGGAAUAGAGUCACAGCACACCCACGCCAAGUCUCCCCUGCUCACCUCCCCCUCCUGAAGACCACCGCCCUCUCUCUUCUGGGGCGCAGAUCAGGGGCCAUUCCUCAGGGAGCCAUCGAGGUGGGUGGCCAGACCCCAAGGUCAUGCCAGCCGAGCACCUCUUGGGGCCUGUGACCUCCUUUGUGAAGACGCCCAAGGGCAGGAGAAGGGCUCAGUGGAAGUCACAUGCUAGAAGGUAGCUCCCGGCGGGCGAGCGAAUGUAAAUGGGCCAGGUACCCACAUGCACUCAUGUCUGUGGGUGUGCGUGCAGGCUUCUGGGCAUCCCCUGCCUGCAUGGGGAUAUGCAGCAGCAGGCCCAGCCUGUUUGCUGUCCCUCCUCAUGGCAGCCUUGCCCCACCCCAGCCCUCUCCCCAGCACCAUUCUGCCACUCUCAUCAGCUUGCCACGCACGCCGCCCUUGACAGCCUGCUCGUACACACAGCCAUGCAAUUACUCUGUAAUGGCUACAGGCCAUUAAGUCAUCAAUUUGCUCAUCCCAGCCUGCCAACCCUUCCGCAUCACGCAGUAAAGCUAUUAAAACAACAGCAUCCUUAAUGUGUUGGGGACAUGCCCGUCAGCACCUGCCUCGACGGGGAAGAGCCGAGUCUUAGAAGACACACCACCCCAGCCAGUUGGCUGUACAAACACACGUGCACAUAUGUGGACAUGGACGUGCAUGUACAGUGCACACCCCAGAUGUAUGGACACAGGGACAUGGGCACAUAUAUAACUAACUGCACAUACUAUGCACAUGUAAGUGUCCACAGACAAUGCAGAUCUGGGCUCUGAAGACUCCUGUCAGUGUCAGCUGCCUCUAGGCUCCCCGGUCAGUGAUGGUUGGAGCAGGACCGGAGUGCUCAGGGCUGGCAGCAGCUGGCACAAGGCUUGAGCAGGGCACCCCGUGCUCCCUAACCAGUAGGUCAGGCCUGCGGGGCACCCCCAGCCUGCACGGGAGCCUGCAUGUGGGCCCCCAGCCCCUCCCAUCCCCAGAACAGCGAUGUGUACACGGGUUAAGAGCCCAUUCAGGGCUCGCGUCAGCCUUAGGGCAGAGUAACAGGUGGUAACACUGCCCUCCCGGCUCCAGCUUCCCAAGAACUACACUGUACAUCCCAAGUUUCACCCUGUCCCUCUGGGGAGCCACCCGCAGUCGGGACUGCGUGGGUGGCCACAUCUGGACAUGGGAGUGAGUGUGCUGUGUGCCUUCUGGGCUGGCAGAUACAUCAGAGCUUCCUGUUCAGCUUAUCCUGGAUUCGCAGUGUGAAGUCCACCCCCCCACCCACCGCUGUUCCUGUGUGUCACCUUCGUGGGCAAAGCUGCCCUCCAUGUAUGUCACCCCUUUGGCACCUGAGCAAGAGCUCAUCCACAAAAUACUCCCGGUUGUGGAAUUGCGGGAUUGUAGGCACCGGUCUCCAAGUUUCUAGAUACGGCCCCAUUCUUCCCGAAGAGGCCGCGCCUGUGGCCUCCAGCAGGGGAGACACCUGCCAGCACAGUGGGCAGAAUCCUCACCGCUGUUUCCAUGACUACCAGCUCCCUGGGGGUAUUCUGCAUAUUUACUGGACAUUGGGGUCUGCUGCUCUGUGAACUCCCUGUUCAUGCUCUUUGCCCGUUUUCUGGACUCUUGGUGAUUUUCCCUGAUUCCACUUCGGUUGUGUGGUUUGCCUCUUACUUCAUUUAAUACCUGUUGAUGUGUAGGAUUUUAAUAUUUUAUUCAGAGACAUUAAUCUUUUUUAUGGCUUGAAGUUUUCAUGUCUAAAAACUCCUUUGCUACUUGAAGCUCUUAAAUACAUUUCCCACUUGUUCUAAAAAAUACAAAGCUUUGCUUUUCUCAUUUAAACCUUAAUUUGCUGGAAAUUUAUUUUCUCUUGUGGUGCGAAAAGCCCUAAUUUUCCUUUAUGGAAUAGUUUGUGUUCCCAGCAUGGUUCUCGGACUCGGGUCUCUCCCGGCCGCACUGCACAGCCUCCCUCCACGCCCAAGCGUCAGGUGUGCUCCGCGCUGCCCCUUCCUUCCCAGCCCAUUCACCUCUUUUCCAGGCUCUGCCGCUGAUUUCCUGUCUGAUGUCUGUCAGGGUGAGGCACCCACCCGCAUGUCCUUGCGAGCAGUCUAGGCUGAUCUUGGCCCCUUGUUCUUACAUCUGGAUUUUAAGAGCAGCUUCAAGUUCCUCUUCAAAAGCCUCAUUGGGGUUUUUGUAGAGGUGAUUCAACUUGUAGAUUAAUUAAUCUGGUGAGAUUUGACAUCUUUACAAAACUGCUCUCUCCGGCCCAUGAACGGUGACCCCGCUCCGCAUUUCUUCGGGCUUCGUGUUUUGCAGUUUUCUCUACAAUAACCGUGCACGUCUUUGGAAACGUUCAGCUCCAGGCAGACGACAACCAGGGGGAAGGUGGUGGCCACCUGUCCUCUCUCAGGCUGCGGGGCUGCUCCAGAGCCGCUGCCCAGAUCCCCAGGUGAGCACAGGCGAACAGGCCAGCUUCCGACCAGCUCGUGUUACUGCCUCCAGUUGUUAAGAUGUUCUGUGAAUGAGUGCUAAAUUGUA